Molecule: ribosomal RNA, 497 nt
Filed under: uncultured bacterium
Lineage: Bacteria
Description: partial 16S ribosomal RNA
Rfam family: Bacterial small subunit ribosomal RNA
Source: RNAcentral
GAUGAACGCUGGCGGCGUGCCUAAUACAUGCAAGUCGAGCGAACAGACGAGGAGCUUGCUCCUCUGACGUUAGCGGCGGACGGGUGAGUAACACGUGGAUAACCUACCUAUAAUACUGGGAUAACUUCGGGAAACCGGAGCUAAUACCGGAUAAUAUAUUGAACCGCAUGGUGCAAUAGUGAAAGACGGUUUUGCUGUCACUUAUAGAUGGAUCCGCGCCACAUUAGCUAGUUGGUAAGGUAACGGCUUACCAAGGCAACGAUGCGUAGCCGACCUGAGAGGGUGAUCGGCCACACUGGAACUGAGACACGGUCCAGACUCCUACGGGAGGCAGCAGUAGGGAAUAUUCCGCAAUGGGCGAAAGCCUGACGGAGCAACGCCGCGUGAGUGAUGAAGGUCUUCGGAUCGUAAAGCUCUGUUAUUAGGGAAGAACAAAUGUGUAAGUAACUCUGCACGUCUUGACGGUACCUAAUCAGAAAGCCCCGGCUAACUACGUG